UACGAAGGGGGCUAGCGUUGCUCGGAAUCACUGGGCGUAAAGGGUGCGUAGGCGGGUCUUUAAGUCAGGGGUGAAAUCCCGGAGCUCAACUCCAGAACUGCCUUUGAUACUGAAGAUCUUGAGUUCGGGAGAGGUGAGUGGAACUGCGAGUGUAGAGGUGAAAUUCGUAGAUAUUCGCAAGAACACCAGUGGCGAAGGCGGCUCACUGGCCCGGUACUGACGCUGAGGUGCGAAAGCGUGGGGAGCAAACAGG
RNAcentral lists this ribosomal RNA (253 nucleotides) under uncultured bacterium. RNAcentral's name for it is "partial 16S ribosomal RNA". It matches the Rfam family "Bacterial small subunit ribosomal RNA", at positions 524 to 776 of the family's 1533-position model. The record is from RNAcentral.